Molecule: ribosomal RNA, 253 nt
Filed under: uncultured bacterium
Lineage: Bacteria
Description: partial 16S ribosomal RNA
Rfam family: Bacterial small subunit ribosomal RNA
Source: RNAcentral
GACGAACCGUGCGAACGUUGUUCGGAAUCACUGGGCUUAAAGGGCGCGUAGGCGGGUCCGCACGCCCGGGGUGAAAGCCCCCGGCUCAACCGGGGAAGGGCCUCGGGUACGGCGGACCUCGAGGGGGGCAGGGGCGCGCGGAACUUCCGGUGGAGCGGUGAAAUGCGUAGAGAUCGGAAGGAACGCCGGUGGCGAAAGCGGCGCGCUGGGCCCGCCCUGACGCUGAGGCGCGAAAGCCAGGGGAGCUAACGGG